AUGGUCAUCUCCUUCUCCACCUUCGUCGUGGGGAUGAUCCUGACAGCUCUCUCGGCGUACCUGCUGCUGCUCGUCAAGAACGGCAUAUCGAAUGUGGUGGCGGUUCAGGAGUCCAUCAUGUUUCUCGGCCUUUACAUUAUCGCGGUCGGAGUACGCGGUCUCCGGCCAUGCCUGAUGUCCUUUGGUGCCGACCAGUUCGACGACGGCGACCCGUUGGAGCGCAGGGCGAAAGCCGCCUUCUUCAACUGGUACGUGUUCACCAUGUACUGCGGGUCGACGAUAGCAAGCACCGGCAUCGUGUGGGUGCAAGACCACUACGGCUGGGCACUGGGCCCGACGAUCCUGGCCGUGGGACUCUCCUGCCUGGUUGCGACAUCGCGCAAGUACAGGUUUCAGCCAACCCAUGGCAGCCCACUCACCGGAGUGUGCCAGGUCGUCGUCGCCGCUGUCAACAAUUUCAACGUCGAGUUGCCGUCCGAUAGCUCUCUCCUCUAUGAGCUGCCAGAUGACAAUCCUGUGAUGAGGGGAUUUGAGAGGAUAGAGCACACCACCGAUCUUCGAUUCUUUGACAAGGCAGCCAUUGUCGGGCCGUCGAACAAGGAGAUGGAGGAGACAGACGCGCCGGCGUUGCGCAGUCCGUGGAGACUCUGCGCCGUGACGCAGGUGGAGGAGCUCAAAAUCCUCGUGAGGAUGCUGCCGCUCUUGGUCACCAUCGUGUUCUUCUACGCCGUGGCGGCACAGGUCCCGUCAACUUUCGUGGAGCAGGGCAUGGCGAUGGACACCGCCGUCGGCUCGGUGCGCAUCCCGCCCGCGUCCAUGUCCACCUUCAACGUGCUCACCAUCGUCGUCCUGAUCCCGCUCUAUGACCGGGUGUUCGUGCCGGCGGCCAGGCGGCUCACCGGGAGGGAGAACGGCAUCUUGGGGCUGCAGAGGAUCGGCGCCGGCCUCGCCAUGCCCGUGCUCAGCAUGGCCGCCGCGGCGUUUCUCGAGACGGCACGCCUCCGCGCGGCAAAGGCAUCGCCGCUGGCGCCAAAGGCGACGAGCGUGCUGUGGCAGGCACCGCAGUACGCGCUGGAGGGCGUGGGCCAGGUGCUCACAACCGUCGGGCAGUUCAGCUUCUUCUACGGCCAGGCGCCGCCCGCGAUGAAGACAGUAUGCACGGCGCUCGGGCUCCUCUCGAUAGCAGCCGGGGAGUACCUGAGCUAG
This 1206-nucleotide ribosomal RNA is filed under the name Triticum aestivum (bread wheat). RNAcentral's name for it is "partial small subunit ribosomal RNA". Lineage: Eukaryota; Viridiplantae; Streptophyta; Magnoliopsida; Poales; Poaceae. The record is from RNAcentral.